GACGAACGCUGGCGGCGUGCUUAACACAUGCAAGUCGAACGGUGAAGGGAUCAGCUUGCUGGUUCUGGAUGACUGGCGAACGGGUGAGUAACACGUGAGUAACCUGCCCCCUUCUUCUGGAUAACCGCAUGAAAGUGUGGCUAAUACGGGAUAUUCUGCGCCUGCUGCAUGGUGGGUGUGGGAAAGAUAUUGUUUCGGUGGGGGAUGGGCUCGCGGCCUAUCAGCUUGUUGGUGGGGUGAUGGCCUACCAAGGCGGUGACGGGUAGCCGGCCUGAGAGGGUGGACGGUCACACUGGGACUGAGACACGGCCCAGACUCCUACGGGAGGCAGCAGUGGGGAAUAUUGCACAAUGGGCGCAAGCCUGAUGCAGCGACGCCGCGUGAGGGAUGGAGGCCUUCGGGUUGUGAACCUCUUUCGCCAGUGAAGCAGGCCUGUCCCUUGUGGGUGGGUUGACGGUAGCUGGAUAAGAAGCGCCGGCUAACUACGUG
Molecule: ribosomal RNA, 489 nt
Filed under: uncultured bacterium
Lineage: Bacteria
Description: partial 16S ribosomal RNA
Rfam family: Bacterial small subunit ribosomal RNA
Source: RNAcentral